CGAAUACAGACUAACACGGCUGCUACUCUGAAACCUAAGGGCCUAUUGUAAUUAUGCAAAGUGUGGGCCAUUAAUGGUGGUUUGGAAUCUUGACGGUUCCCAUCAGCUAGGACAACUGACUGUAGAUGGCUCUAUUUAUUUGUAAGUCU
Long non-coding RNA from Dermochelys coriacea (leatherback sea turtle), 149 nucleotides. RefSeq lists it as uncharacterized. NCBI's taxonomy places the organism in Eukaryota, Metazoa, Chordata, Testudines, Dermochelyidae. The record is from RefSeq and is a predicted model, not a curated record. The transcript is spliced from 3 exons.